GAUGAAGAACGUAGCGAAAUGCGAUAAGUAAUGUGAAUUGCAGAAUUCAGUGAAUCAUCGAAUCUUUGAACGCACAUUGCGCCCGCCAGCAUUCUGGCGGGCAUGCCUGUUCGAGCGUCAUUUCAACCCUCGAGCCCCCCCGGGGGCCUCGGUGUUGGGGGACGGCACACCAGCCGCCCCCGAAAUGCAGUGGCGACCCCGCCGCAGCCUCCCCUGCGUAGUAGCACACACCUCGCACCGGAGCGCGGAGGCGGUCACGCCGUAAAACGCCCAACUUUCUUAGAGUUGACCUCGGAUCAGGUAGGAAUACCCGCUGAGUUUAAGCAUAUCAAUAAGCGGAGGA
RNAcentral lists this unclassified non-coding RNA (343 nucleotides) under soil metagenome. RNAcentral's name for it is "partial contains 5.8S ribosomal RNA, internal transcribed spacer 2, and large subunit ribosomal RNA". The stretch from base 1 to 120 matches the Rfam family "5.8S ribosomal RNA", at positions 35 to 154 of the family's 154-position model. The record is from RNAcentral.